Molecule: RNA transcript, 1949 nt
Organism: Acinonyx jubatus (cheetah)
Lineage: Eukaryota; Metazoa; Chordata; Mammalia; Carnivora; Felidae
Exons: 8
Source: RefSeq, a predicted model, not a curated record
ACUGACGCACGGCCCUGCUUCCGGGGGCCCGUGCUUGCAACAUCUUUCCACCAUAAAACCGCCAUCGAAGUUAAUUGCCUGCAUUGCUUUGCAAUUGAACAGGUCCAUAAAAUGUUCAUUUGGUGCCGUCUCAGGGACUGAACGGGUGGCCAGUCGCUUGGCUUCGGGCGACAGCUGACAUCUGGGGGGCGGUCCCUAGGCAGGGAGGCGUCUCCGAAAUUGCUGAUGUUGAGCGUUCGGAGGGACUUUCUCGGAGCUGUUCCAAAGCGUGUAGGAGCGACUGGUCAUUUACUGGAAUAUUCCUGCGGGGGGCUGUGGAGGCUGCCAAGAGAUAUUUGCAAUUAAGGUGCAAAACUGAAGCCUGAUGGAAAUGAUGGUUUGCAUGUCAGCGUCAGCUUGCGUGAGUGGCCACUGGGGACUGUGGUCUACAUCAUAAAUUACUUUCCACGGGACCGCCACGAAGGACGAAGACCACCUCCGAGCGGGACCCGCCGGCGGGGGGCUGCUCGUUACCAAGGCAACCGCUCCUUCUCGGCACCCCAAACACGGCAGAGGGGCCAGGGCCGUGGAAGCAACCAAAAGAGCGCCCUCCGGCCCCGCCUCGAGGACCUUGGCGAGAAGAGGAGAAGACGAGCGGUGCCGGGACUGGACUGCAAUAACCGGAAGCACCUGGAAUGUGAUGGGGCCCUCCGAGAAGCCCCUGCAGGGGUGGGAUGGGGAGGGGAGUCCACGGAGCGUGGCCCGGGCAGCACACGCGGCGGCUUCGCCCUUGCUGCCCCUGCUCGGUGGGGCGCCCCUUCUGGCUCUGGAACCGGUUCCCGGGACACGCAGGGAUGCUGUGGAGGACGCAAGGCCCGGCGGGUGGGCGCUUGGAGGCCACCCUCUCUGGGGCCCGCCCCGCCCCGCCCCGCCCCUCGGCGGACACGCUCGGGCCGCGUGGAGCACGGGUGGAACGCCGCCGAAGAAGCCCGGCCCGCUUGCUGCUCAGGCAGCUCUCGCAGGCGGCAGCGUCGUGGCUCCGGCGCGGGAUGGCGCCCGUGGCCGCUGGGUCCCAGCGCCGAGGACAGACGGAGCCCGCCCUCCUCUUCGCCCAUCAGCCGUGCCGUGGCCGCCAAAGCCACCCAAGAAGGGGCCACCGCGGUGGUGAGGAAGACAGACCCAAGCGCCUGAUUCCCGUUGUGAGAACCUGGCCUGUGACCGGAAGAGGUCCCAACUGAGGUCCUGGCCUUGGCCCCCAUUUCUCCUCCGAGUCAAGACCGCCACGUGGGCUCUGCCCCCACCAUCCAGCGGCUUCUCUGUGGGGAUCUGUUUGCUGGAUCUGCUCCCUCCCCCACGCCCUUUGAGGCACCGCAUCGAAGGCUGCCAGUCACGUCGUGGUCGUCGUCGUCUCUCAUUAAUGCUUCGGAGGACGAACGAGACAAUAUAAUCGCUCUCUGCACACCUGUCAGGUUCUGCUGGAAUAGAGGUCCCGCUCUCCAAGGAGGAACGUCUGCCACGAGGGGACACGGCUAGCCUGGGCUUCUUCACACGGAGGAUACAGAGUCCCAGAGAGAACACCAGGAAAUGUCCAAAACCUGUCGAUGCCUAGGCUGGAACUGGUAUGGUGUCACUUCUCGCACAUUCUGUUGGCCAAGGAACAUCACAAGACAUGCUUCUCCGGCUGUUCCGGUUACUGAUCUCUCUGACUCCUGACAGAUGGACCAUCAGACCCUCACCUCCAAGCCUGUUGCCAGUUGAAGCCACGCUCCUGAUUCCAUGUGUGCAAACUCACUUCAGAUUCUCAACCCAACUGUAAGGACAAGACUCCAAGGCCGAUCUGACGGAGACGAGGAAGAUACGAGACUGGCCACAUCUUUAAAGAGCAGGGGUCCCUCCGAACUGAACCACGGCCAACCUGUCCCACCAGGCGGAAACAACGAGCAGGAUUGCACAUUCCGCGUCGGGCGGGC